UGUAAGCGUAUACCAAAGUUGUUGCAGUUAAAACGCUCGUAGUCGGAAUUUGGCAGUUCCGGAUGUGUGCACGUCGUGUGCGCACUUCGCGGGGAUUGCUUUUGUGGUCUUGCGUAGGAUGAGGCACUUUUAUUAGUGAACGUCCUCACGCAACCACUUUUUACUGUGAGAAAAUCAGAGUGCUCAAAGCAGGCAUUUGCCGUGAAUGUAUUAGCAUGGAAUAAUAGAAUAGGACUUGGCUCUAUUUUGUUGGUUUGUUGGGACUGAGUAACGAUUAAGAGGGACAGUUGGGGGCAUUUGUAUUUCGGUGCUAGAGGUGAAAUUCUUAGAUUACCGAAAGACAAACUGCUGCGAAAGCGUCUGCCAAGGAUGUUUUCAUUGA
Molecule: ribosomal RNA, 382 nt
Filed under: uncultured eukaryote
Lineage: Eukaryota
Description: partial 18S ribosomal RNA
Rfam family: Eukaryotic small subunit ribosomal RNA
Source: RNAcentral